RNAcentral lists this ribosomal RNA (453 nucleotides) under uncultured bacterium. RNAcentral describes it as "bacterial SSU rRNA". It matches the Rfam family "Bacterial small subunit ribosomal RNA", at positions 9 to 508 of the family's 1533-position model. The record is from RNAcentral.
GGGUUUGAUUAUGGCUCAGGAUGAACGCUGGCGGCGUGCUCAACACAUGCAAGUCGAACGAACCUUCGGGUUAGUGGCGGACGGGUGAGUAACGCGUGAGAAUCUGCCCUCAGGAGGGGGAUAACAGCUGGAAACGGCUGCUAAUACCCCAUAUGCCGCGAGGUGAAAUGAAUUUCGCCUGAGGAUGAGCUCGCGUCUGAUUAGCUAGUUGGUGUGGGUAAUGGCUCACCAAGGCAUCGAUCAGUAGCUGGUCUGAGAGGAUGAUCAGCCACACUGGGACUGAGACACGGCCCAGACUCCUACGGGAGGCAGCAGUGGGGAAUUUUCCGCAAUGAGCGAAAGCCUGACGGAGCAACGCCGCGUGAGGGAUGAAGGCCUCUGGGCUGUAAACCUCUUUUAUCAAGGAAGAAGAUCUGACGGUACUUGAUGAAUAAACCACGGCUAAUUCCGUGC